Etheostoma cragini (Arkansas darter) is the source of this 104-nucleotide long non-coding RNA. RefSeq lists it as uncharacterized. The transcript has 3 exons. NCBI's taxonomy places the organism in Eukaryota, Metazoa, Chordata, Actinopteri, Perciformes, Percidae. The record is from RefSeq and is a predicted model, not a curated record.
UUUUUUCUUUCAUGCAUAAAUAAAAGAAAAAAAGGAAAAAACUUGAAUGUGCGCACCAUAGUCCAAACAGGGCCAGAAACCCACUGAGGUUAGGAGGGUCUCUC